This 5690-nucleotide unclassified non-coding RNA is filed under the name Anthonomus grandis grandis. Its description in RNAcentral is "serine/threonine-protein kinase minibrain". The record is from RNAcentral. Lineage: Eukaryota; Metazoa; Arthropoda; Insecta; Coleoptera; Curculionidae.
GUCAGUGCUUGUCAGCCGUUCGCAUUUUAGGAAGUGCAUCGAAUUUAUGGAAAAAAUGUUAUUUUGAUAUUUUUAUGCGAUUUCCGAAGUGUUUUCGUGGGAUGUAUGACUAACAACAUUCCUGGAAUGGUUAGUGUGCACAAGUGAACUAAGUUAAGUGACGUUGGGGAGGGCACGAGUUGUUUUAGAAAUCGGACCCUUGAAAGAAGUGGCCUCUAGGAAAGCUAAGGUUUUGACGCACGUGUAGUGUUUUGCUGCAUCUAAACUUCUCUUUAAGGAAAACAAACUGUUUUUUCCAGCGAUAUAAUUAUAAGGACGUAGAUUAUCGUUACUGAGUGUAUUAGAAGUCUUGUUCUUGUUAUUGUUUUGCUCCGUGUUUUUGACCCUUGCAUCCGUCCGUCGCGGUUCCCAGGCAGGCCCAUUAUACGUCGCGACAGAGGGAAGUUAGGCAGUUGAAACGAUCCGGAGCUACGUCCUUCAUGUUUCUAAUUUGACGUUUCAUUCUGUUUACGUCUCGAAUGGCGGCAUUGACGAAAUGCAAAUAUGUCCCCUUACCUCUAUGUAAAAUUAGAUGAGUUUUGGAUCCAUGAUUCGUCUUGCCGGUAUUUAUUUUCGGGGCAAAUUACUGGGCGGAAAGUGCAUUUAUUCUUAAGAAAUUGUUCUUGUCGAUCGUCGACUACCGGAGGUUAGUGGCCCUAGAGCACGCGGAAUUGUUUACUUUGUGAUAGAAUAGAUGCUUAAGAUGGUCCUGUAAAAUCAUCCCUUUAAUGGCAAGAUAAGUGGUUGUGGUCCAGACGACGAAGAGGUAUUUUGGCUAACCUUUUAUGUUUUUGAUCUCCCAAUGGCGUGGCAUAAACAGGACCACGUUAACAUGCUCAUGGAUAAAAACAAACCCAAAAUGCCAAUAUCAAUACCGAACAGCAGCGACCCACAGCAACAGCGACGCCAUGUUCCGUUAUAUGGGCGACUGGUCGCCGAUGACCCGUUGGGUGGCACGGUGUCCACCUCGGCCGUAUCAAGCGCGCCAUCUACGACUGAUAUCCAAGCGAUGCAAGCUCGAAUACCGCUUACAUUCCGAGACCCGGCUACGGCUCCCCUCAGAAAGCUCAGCGUGGAUCUGAUUAAGACUUAUAAACAUAUUAAUGAGGUAUAUUAUGCUAAAAAGAAACGCCGUGCGGCCCAAGUCCAAGGCGACGAUAGUUCGCAUAAAAAAGAACGAAAGAUUUACAAUGACGGUUAUGACGACGACAACCAUGACUAUAUCAUCAAGACCGGUGAAAAGUUCCUUGACAGAUAUGAAAUUGACUCCCUUAUUGGCAAGGGGUCUUUUGGACAAGUGGUGAAGGCCUACGACCACGUGGAGCAGUGCAAUGUGGCUAUUAAAAUAAUAAAAAAUAAAAAACCCUUCCUUAACCAGGCCCAAAUCGAGGUCAAGUUGCUCGAAAUUAUGAAUAAGGCUGACGCAGAGAAUAAGUAUUAUAUAGUAAAAUUAAAAAGACAUUUUAUGUGGCGGAAUCAUCUAUGUCUCGUGUUCGAAUUAUUGUCGUACAACUUGUAUGACCUACUGCGAAACACGAAUUUCCGAGGCGUAUCUCUGAAUUUGACGCGAAAGUUCGCGCAGCAGCUGUGUACGGCGCUGCUGUUCCUUUCCACUCCCGAACUUAGUAUAAUUCACUGUGAUCUUAAACCUGAGAACAUUCUCUUGUGUAAUCCGAAGAGGUCAGCGAUUAAAAUUGUUGAUUUUGGUAGCUCGUGUCAACUCGGACAAAGGAUAUACCAGUAUAUCCAAUCGAGGUUCUAUCGAUCGCCGGAGGUUCUUCUAGGCAUAUCAUACGAUCUGGCCAUCGACAUGUGGUCCUUAGGUUGCAUUCUAGUAGAGAUGCACACCGGAGAGCCGCUAUUCAGCGGAUCGAACGAAGUGGAUCAAAUGAACAAAAUCGUGGAGGUGUUGGGAAUGCCACCCAAGCACAUUCUGGACCAGGCGAACAAAACUCGAAAGUUCUUUGAGAAAGUCGCUAGCGAGCGAGGUAGUGGCAGCUAUCGAUACGUCCUAAAAAAAACUAAGGACGGCAAGAAAUACAAAAGCCCAGGUUCAAGACGGUUACAAGAGAUCCUCGGUGUAGACAAUGGUGGACCGGGCAGUAGGAGGGCCGGAGAACCAGGACAUGCGCAGUCAGACUAUCUUAAAUUUAAGGACCUAAUAACGCGAAUGCUUGACUACGACCCCAAAACUCGUAUAACUCCUUAUUACGCACUGCAGCAUGGGUUCUUUAAGCGCACCAGCGACGAGGGUACGAAUACUGCGUCGGCAACGGCCAACCAUAGUGCGAGUAGCAGUCCCGCUAUUACUGGCCUUGAUAUAUCUAACAGUCAGCAUGGGUUAAAUUUUGUUAGUCGAUCCCGUGAGCUGUUCUCGGCCCACCACUAUCAACCGGAGCAACCACAACAACAAAUUAGCGCGUCUUAUGCCGGGUACUCAACCCUGUGGAAUCCGCAGACAGCUCAAUCCCCGACAACGGGACGGGCGCCACAUAACCCUCACCGCGGUCAACAGACGCAGGCCCAACAAGUGGUACCUCAACGGUACCACCAGGUGCCGCAUCAGGCUGUCCUGAACCACGGCCCGGCAUCUCUACAGACUUACACCCUCCCUAAACAACAUAACGGUAAUAACGGCGGGGGUAACCAGGGAGCACAGGUGGUACCGCAUCAGAAUGUGCGCAAACAGUCGGAUGGUACUAACCGGGAUGGGAACAGUCCCAUGGUUGGAGUUUGUCUACAGCAAAGCCCUGUUGUGAUUCAUUAAAUUUGCGUCACCGCAAUAAGAGUCAGUCAAUCGUAAUAUGCGGACGUUAGAGGCAUUUACAAUAACGCUAUCCACAAGGUUUGUAAAAAGCGGCCAACACUAUUACUCUACAUCUAUAAUUCGAUAUACCGCCAAGCCUCGGGUAAAGUUAUAAGUUAAAACUAUUAAGUUCUUGCCCAUUGACAAAUCGAGUUAUACCACAAUAAUUUUUUAAAUUCGAGCAUUUUCCACUAUUUUUUUAGUUAUAGUAGAAAAUGGAAUGAGCUAGUGAUAUAUAAGCAAAUGCAAAUAAUCGUUAACAUUAUUAACGGCAAGUUUUUAAGGAGUAAUUACGAAUAAAUAGUAUAUGUUAAUAAUUGUAAUAUAUUAUUAUGGUACUACAUAUUCUAUACAUAUUUGACUAUACUUUUGACAUUGACUGUACCAUUUAUUUGAAGUUGUCUAAUUUAUGAUAAAAUUCGGUCUUAACAGUCGUCGGUCUGCAUCAUUAAUUAGAGAACUUUGAUUUAUUUGGCUCUGGUUUUCACCCGUCUUAUUUUUGAUACGGUCUAAAAAGAAAAUAUUUUCAUACAUUUUACAAAAAUAAAAGCCAAUAACCACGUAAUACAGUAUUAAGUUGUACCUACGAAGCAUUCAAUAGCAUAUAUCCAAUGAAAUACCUCAACGCUCAGUUUUGCAGUUUUUUCUAUAAAUUGCGCGAAAAUCUUACGAAUACCAGGGCCAAAAAUACUCUAUUUAUUAGGAAAGAAUGUGUUCAUAUAUAGUUUCACGUGAACAUUUUAAAAUGGGUUAAAUUAUGAUUUAUAAAUAAUCUCAUUUACAGACAUAUGUAUCCGAUUAUAUCCGAUCAUAUAUUUACGAAUUGUACAAUAUACAUUCCGCGAAAUUUUAACAUUUUGAUUAUGCAGAUUUCUCGUCAUAUUUUAAUCCUAAAAGAAAGACAGUAAUAAUCAUUAAAAUUAUAUGAAAAGACUAUGUCUAAUCGCGCUACAACAUAUUUUGAUCUUGGAUCGUUCGUCAUAUUAAAAUUUAAAGGUUUAAUUUGGUUUAUUAGCUCAAAUUGGAUGCUAUUUUCGUAACAUUGAUAACUCAUCUAAAUUAAAAAAAAGAUGAAUAGGCAAAUUUACCGCUUUGAUUUUAAUAAAGUUUCAGAAACAGUACAAUUGAACAAAUUCUAUUUUGUGUUUUGCUCAAGCAGGUCUUAACUUUACCACGAGUUCCAAACUAAUUUGAAAUAUAUCAUGUCAAAGUUAAAAAAAUAUUUUCUUUCUGAAACAAAACUGUUAUCUCAUUACUUCAAGUGUAUAAGCCUUUGUUCUAUAAGGUCACUUUAGGGUCUUUGAGGCUAUUAGUUUAACUGAAAAUCUCCCUAUUUUUGAGCUUAUUUCAUAUAAAUUUUAAUGAAACUGUUUGUGGCUUUCUUUUAUUAGCUGCUGCUGAUCGGUUUAAAACUUGUCUUUUUAUGCUUUUUGUGUCUUUUCGUGAAAGUUCUCAAGUAUUAACUCCCAAAAAAUUCAAAUUAUGUGUUUGUAUGUUAGUCCUAUAGUUGGACCAUUGGUCCUGCAUCCAUUUUGGAUAGUAAAACUUUUUUGUGAUUUGUUGGUAUGUUGUUUUAAUCCCAUUGCAUAAGAGUUUUUAAGCUGGUUGCUCAGGAUUUUCGUCAGUAAUAACACAAUUAAACAUCUUUUUUUUAAAAUUCCCUAUAAGUUUAUUGUAAUUCAUACUUUCUAGAUAAAUCAGUCUUAAGUUCUUUAAAGCUAAUUGUGGAACCGAAAAAAUCUUGAUCUUGUGAUAAUUGUAAUAUCAGCGGUAGUUAAUGUAAGUUGCCGAUGUUCUGCUGAUUUUUAACUGUUGUUGUCUAAGGAAUUAUAUGCUUAAGUUAUGAAAUACAGUUUUGCUUCAUAAAGGAAAUUACAGAAGUUGUGAAUUUUGACACGAUCUGGUUCAAAUUAGUUUUGAACUCGUAGUAAAGUUUGAGCACAACAUUUGGAGAAUUUUUUUAUUUGGACAACAGAAACUCCUUACUACUAAUUGUGUAGUUAAAAUUUACCAGCCAAAAUUUCAAGUCUAAGAUAGAAUAGUUCAAGAAAAGUAAAAAUAGUACUUAGAAAAACCUAUAUGUGCUCAUCUUUCAUCAAACUGUUUAACAUUUUUGAAAUAUUAAUAGCUUUAAUAUAUGGUAUUUUGAAGACGUUUUCAAUAGUAACUCUAACUAACUAAAGCUGAUUUCGAAAAAUUAAAUUGUUAUAGCGCACAAAAAAGACACUAAUCAACUGAAUUAAUAUUAAUUGGUACUUUUAACUCGAAUAUUACACAUAAUUUUAUAACUACCUACCAUAUUCCAAUUCUAUAUACAACUUUACCUCUAUUCCAUUGUUAUCUUAAAACCCAAAUUAAAAUGUUCACGCAAAAUAAUCAAUAGUCUUGAAUUUGCCGUCAGAAUUGUUCAUAUUAGCAGCAAUUAGGUGCAAGAAAAUAUUAGCUUAGAAAAUGGCCUAGUUACAGAUGGCAUUAAAAUUUGGUUUGAAAUAUUACCAAAAUUAUAAUGCAAAUGGCAUAUUUUCUUUGUAUAGACAAUACAUGACGGUGAGUGGGACUCGUAACCAAUUUUAAUUUAAUAUUGUUGAGUUUUAGGUAAAGCAAAUAUUUAACGGGAUUUUUUUUUGUAAAUAACAAUUCCCGGAUACUUUUAAGUCUGUAAAACACGUUUUUAUUUAUUUUGAUUUCAUGACAUGCAAUCAUUUUCAUUUUUCUGCCGUAAAAAUUAGGUUUUUAUCGCUAUGACCGAGAGUCCAUAAAGUAGUAAAUAUAAUGAUAGUGUAAAUUUUACAUAAGCCCUUCAUCUAUAAAUUCCUAUUUGCUCUUAAAUAAAUUUACAAAGGGA